Molecule: ribosomal RNA, 372 nt
Filed under: Laribacter hongkongensis
Lineage: Bacteria; Pseudomonadati; Pseudomonadota; Betaproteobacteria; Neisseriales; Aquaspirillaceae
Description: bacterial SSU rRNA
Rfam family: Bacterial small subunit ribosomal RNA
Source: RNAcentral
GAUGCCGGAUUAGCUAGUUGGUGGGGUAAAGGCUCACCAAGGCGACGAUCCGUAGCAGGUCUGAGAGGAUGAUCUGCCACACUGGGACUGAGACACGGCCCAGACUCCUACGGGAGGCAGCAGUGGGGAAUUUUGGACAAUGGGGGAAACCCUGAUCCAGCCAUGCCGCGUGUCUGAAGAAGGCCUUCGGGUUGUAAAGGACUUUUGUCAGGGAGGAAAUCCUUAAGGCUAAUACCCUUGGGGGAUGACAGUACCUGAAGAAUAAGCACCGGCUAACUACGUGCCAGCAGCCGCGGUAAUACGUAGGGUGCAAGCGUUAAUCGGAAUUACUGGGCGUAAAGCGUGCGCAGGCGGUUUGAAAAGUCAGCUGUG